AGAGGUAUCGUAAUUGAAGAGGUUUGGAAAGACCCACCACAGAAGGUAAUAGUCCUGUAUGUUAAAUGAGAAGACUUUAGAUAUGAUCCAGAGUACCACUGGACACGUGAAACCCUGUGGGAAGCAGGAGGGACCACCCUCCAAGGCUAAAUACUACCUAGUGACCGAUAGCGUAUAGUACCGUGAGGGAAAGGUGAAAAGAACCCCGGGAGGGGAGUGAAAUAGAACCUGAAACCCUGCACUUACAAGCUGUGGAAGCACAUUUCUUGUGUGACCGCGUACUUUUUGUAGAACGGGCCAACGAGUUACGUUAAGUAGCAAGGUUAAGCACUUAAGGUGCGGAGCCGUAGCGAAAGCGAGUUUUAACUGAGCGUUCAGUUACUUGACGUAGACCCGAAACCGGGCGACCUACCCAUGAGCAGGAUGAAGCGAAAGUAAAAUUUCGUGGAGGUCCGAACCCACGAGCGUUGAAAAGCUCGGGGAUGACUUGUGGGUAGCGGUGAAAUUCCAAUCGAGCCCGGAGAUAGCUGGUUCUCCCCGAAAUAGCUUUAGGGCUAGCCUCAAGGUGAGAGAUACGGAGGUAGAGCACUGAAUGUCCUAGGGGGUAUUGCACCUACCGAAGACUAUCAAACUCCGAAUGCCGUCAUCUUAUACUUGGGAGUCAGACUGUGGGUGAUAAGAUUCAUAGUCGAAAGGGCAACAGCCCAGAUCGUCAGCUAAGGUCCCUAAAUGUAAGUUAAGUGGUAAAGGAUGUGGGAUUGCACAGACAACCAGGAUGUUGGCUUAGAAGCAGCCACUCAUUCAAAGAGUGCGUAAUAGCUCACUGGUCGAGUGAUCCUGCGCCGAAGAUUUCCGGGGCUAAAACUUACUACCGAAGCUACGGCAUCAGUAAUGAUGGGUAGGGGAGCUUCCCAUACGGGUUGAAGCAUGACCGUAAGGACAUGUGGACAGUAUGGGAGUGAGAAUGUUGGCAUGAGUAGCGAGAUGUGGGUGAGAAUCCCACAGGCCGUAAACCCAAGGUUUCCAGGGGAAGGUUCGUCCGCCCUGGGUUAGUCGGGACCUAAGCUGAGGCCGAAAGGCGUAGGUGAUGGACAACAGGUUGAUAUUCCUGUAC
Molecule: ribosomal RNA, 1114 nt
Filed under: Clostridioides difficile
Lineage: Bacteria; Bacillati; Bacillota; Clostridia; Peptostreptococcales; Peptostreptococcaceae
Description: partial 23S ribosomal RNA
Rfam family: Bacterial large subunit ribosomal RNA
Source: RNAcentral